Non-coding RNA from Cajanus cajan (pigeon pea), 2038 nucleotides. Lineage: Eukaryota; Viridiplantae; Streptophyta; Magnoliopsida; Fabales; Fabaceae. The record is from RefSeq and is a predicted model, not a curated record.
CUACACUCCUAUGUAAAUGGUUGAGAAGUACGAGUACCAUCGUACACCUUGUCACAAGAGAUAACUAACUACUUCCAUUUCAUUUCAUUAACAACCUUUGUUCUUGUUCUUAUUCUUAUAAUAAUAAGAAAAGGAGUAUGUGAAAUUUCACGACAGGCUGACGCCGUCAAACCAAAUUUCACUCUCAUUUUGAUUUUUGAGUGCGUUCCAGGAAACACAACUCUGCUCUCCAGAUCCUCACUCCCUUCAAUUUUCUCUCUCCACUCCCAAACUUCCAUUCCACGCGUCCAAUUUCGGUCGCGCAAACCAUGUUCCGUUGCCUCGGAAAUUAGGGUUUGGCACGUGGGGAAAUCUAUGGCCACCGUGAAUCCACAGCCUCUGCAGUUCGAGGACCCUGACAUACCCGUCGACGACGACGACGAUGCUAUGGACGAGUUGGAGGAUGCAAAUGUUAAUUCAGUUAGCGUUGCUAAUGCUGCGAGUGCGAGUCAUGAAGCGGUACUUGCUAUGCCUUCUAGAACUAGCGAGCUCACUCUUUCUUUUGAGGGUGAGGUUUAUGUCUUUCCAGCUGUCACUCCUCAGAAGGUGCAAGCCGUAUUGCUGCUCUUGGGAGGACGUGAUGUGCAGGCAGGCAUGCCUACAGUUGAACAACCAAUUGAUCAGAGUAACAGAGGCAUGGGUGAUACUCCAAAGCGUUCAAACCUUUCACGAAGAAUAGCAUCCUUGGUCAGGUUCCGUGAGAAACGCAAGGAAAGAUGUUUUGACAAGAAAAUUAGGUAUUCCGUAAGAAAAGAGGUGGCACAGAGGAUGCAUAGGAAGAAUGGGCAGUUUGCAUCCCUGAAGGAAAACCCAGGUUCAUCUAAUUGGGAUUCUGCACAGAGUACUGGUCAAGAUGGCACUCUUCAUUCUGAAUCAGUACGUAGAUGUCACCAUUGUGGUGUCAGUGAAAAUAAUACUCCUGCAAUGCGUCGUGGGCCAGCUGGACCAAGGACUUUAUGCAAUGCAUGUGGCCUUAUGUGGGCUAACAAGGGCACACUCAGAGAUCUUAGUAAGGGAGGAAGAAAUCUUACUGUUGAGCAAAGUGAUCUGGUGCUUGGUUUACCUAUCAACUUGAAUGGAAUUUGCAGGACACUCCUAUUGAUGUCAAGCCUACUGCUGUUCUUGAAGAGGAAUUACCUAUCACCCAUGAUGAGCAAGGUAGUUCUGAAGAUCCUUCCAAGUCAAACACUGCUGAUGGUUCUAGUAAUCGUGUUGUAAACCCCAGUGAUGAGGAAUUGCCUGAAACUGCACAACACUUUACGAAUGCUCUGCCACUGGGAAUUGGUCAUUCUUCAACCGAUGAUAAUGAACAGGAACCUCUGGUCGAGAUUUCUAAUCCUUCAGAUACAGAUAUUGACAUUCCAGGAAACUUUGAUUAGAAGGUACUAAGUGAUUAUUAUGUUGAGGGGUUUUACAUAAUGGUCCCUCUGUAGUAUAUUGGUGUGCUAAUGAGACGCAGAUCUAGAAGCAGUGAUACAUUCCACGAGACAAUUAGGAAAUUCAAGGUUAUGAUUAAUUGUAGACCUCGGAAAUGGAAAUGAUUACCGAUUAGCAAGUGUGAAGAAGCUCUGCUGUUCGGGUCUAACAUUAUGUAGUCUGCAAUAUUGAUGCUGGUAUAAGUGCCAAAAUAUUGUUUGUGUAUAAGAUAUCAAAUGAUCUUCCUUCGGUGUUUAUAUCAUGAAAUAUUCAUUAGUUAGGGCCUGUGUUAGUAAAAAUGCUGUCUGCUUGUCCCUGACUAUAAUAAUUUCAUCGAGGCCAAAGCUCUGCUACCCUGAUUUUAGAGAUGAAAUUUCGGUGAUAUGCUGCGUCACUCAAGGAUGAACUGCUAAUUUGAAUAUCAAUGCAGCGGUUUGCUAUUGCUAAUUCCGACCUUUAAUGAAGUUCAGGCUUGUGCUGCUGGGCUCUUGGUGAAACAUUUGGAUAUGUUAAUACGUACAGAUGAACUUGUUCCAAAUGUACAUAUAUAUACAUAUAAAUAAAUAUUAGUUGUCGUCUUAUC